UAUCUUCUCUCUACACACUAUCUUCUCUCUCUACAUCAAUUCAUCUUUUCUUCAUGUCUCUUUUUCUCAACCCUAGGUACCAGUGUACCACCACCAGCCCCAAACCAGAACCGCCUCAUGCUACCAUUCACCAAACCCUAGAGUUUACUACAAGUGUAGUACCGGAAAAGGAUGUCCGGCGAGGAAGUGUGUGGAGUUAGCGGUGGACGAUUCGAAGAUGCUGAUUGUGACGUACGCCGGAGAACACGUUCACCGGCGGGAUGCGGUGGAGAUAGUGACAGGUUUGACCGGCUGGUCACGGCGGCGGAGACGGUGGGGAAUGGUGUUGGACCGGAAUUUGGGAUGAGUGGAGAGACGAUGGAGAUUGAGAUGGGGAUGAAGCUGGUAGGUAGGGUUAGGGUUUUGAAGAUAUUUACUCAUAGAGUUGAGAGUGGAGUGAAUUAUGGUGUGGUGAUUAAGGUGAAAAGUGGAUCUGUGUUAGGGCUUCAUUGUUAGUUAGUAUUAGAGUAAUUGCUGAUUUUUUUUGUUGAUGAAUUAUGUUUUGGUUUCUGUUUGAAUUGGAAUUGAAAACUUAAUUGUAUAUAGUGAUUGGAACUGGAACUGGAACUGAUUGUGGUUUGGAUUAAGAAUAUGGUUUUAGUUUCUACUUAAAU
Molecule: long non-coding RNA, 653 nt
Organism: Helianthus annuus (common sunflower)
Lineage: Eukaryota; Viridiplantae; Streptophyta; Magnoliopsida; Asterales; Asteraceae
Exons: 2
Source: RefSeq, a predicted model, not a curated record